GGUUAAGUGAAUAAGGGCGCACGGUGGAUGCCUUGGCACUAGGAGCCGAUGAAGGACGGGACUAACACCGAUAUGCUUUGGGGAGCUGUAAGUAAGCUAUGAUCCAGAGAUUUCCGAAUGGGGGAACCCAAUAUCUUUUAUAGGAUAUUACUUUUCAGUGAAUACAUAGCUGAUUAGAGGUAGACGCAGAGAACUGAAACAUCUUAGUACCUGCAGGAAGAGAAAGAAAAUUCGAUUCCCUGAGUAGCGGCGAGCGAAACGGGAAGAGCCCAAACCAACAAGCUUGCUUGUUGGGGUUGUAGGACUCCAAUAUGGUAGUCUGUUAGUAUAGUUGAAGGAUUUGGAAAAUUCCGCUAAAGAGGGUGAAAGCCCCGUAGACGAAAUGCUGACAACACCUAGGAGGAUCCUGAGUACGGCGGAACACGAGAAAUUCCGUCGGAAUCCGCGGGGACCAUCCCGCAAGGCUAAAUACUCCCUAGUGACCGAUAGUGAACCAGUACCGUGAGGGAAAGGUGAAAAGCACCCCGGAAGGGGAGUGAAAUAGAUCCUGAAACCGUGUGCCUACAACAAGUCAAAGCUCGUUAAUGAGUGAUGGCGUGCCUUUUGUAGAAUGAACCGGCGAGUUACGAUUGCAUGCGAGGUUAAGUCGAAGAGACGGAGCCGCAGCGAAAGCGAGUCUGAAUAGGGCGAAUGAGUAUGUAGUCGUAGACCCGAAACCAUGUGAUCUACCCAUGUCCAGGUUGAAGGUGCGGUAAAACGCACUGGAGGACCGAACCCACGUACGUUGAAAAGUGCGGGGAUGAGGUGUGGGUAGCGGAGAAAUUCCAAACGAACUUGGAGAUAGCUGGUUCUCUCCGAAAUAGCUUUAGGGCUAGCCUCGGAAUUGAGAAUGAUGGAGGUAGAGCACUGUUUGGACUAGGGGCCCAUCUCGGGUUACCGAAUUCAGAUAAACUCCGAAUGCCAUUCAUUUAUAUCCGGGAGUCAGACUGCGAGUGAUAAGAUCCGUAGUCGAAAGGGAAACAGCCCAGACCACCAGCUAAGGUCCCAAAAUAUAUGUUAAGUGGAAAAGGAUGUGGGGUUGCACAGACAACUAGGAUGUUGGCUUAGAAGCAGCCACCAUUUAAAGAGUGCGUAAUAGCUCACUAGUCGAGUGACCCUGCGCCGAAAAUGUACCGGGGCUAAACAUAUUACCGAAGCUGUGGACUACACCAUUAGGUGUAGUGGUAGGAGAGCGUUCUAAGGGCGUUGAAGGUCGAUCGUGAGGACGGCUGGAGCGCUUAGAAGUGAGAAUGCCGGUAUGAGUAGCGAAAGACAGGUGAGAAUCCUGUCCACCGUAUGACUAAGGUUUCCUGGGGAAGGCUCGUCCGCCCAGGGUUAGUCGGGACCUAAGCCGAGGCCGAUAGGCGUAGGCGAUGGACAACAGGUUGAUAUUCCUGUACCAGUUGUUUUUGUUUGAGCAAUGGAGGGACGCAGUAGGCUAAGGAAUGCAUGCGAUUGGAAGUGCAUGUCCAAGCAAUGAGUCUUGAGUAGAGUUAAAUGCUUUACUCUCUAAGGACAAGUUGUGACGGGGAGCGAAAUAAUAGUAGCGAAGUUCCUGAUGUCACACUGCCAAGAAAAGCUUCUAGUGAGAAAACAACUGCCCGUACCGUAAACCGACACAGGUAGUCGAGGAGAGUAUCCUAAGGUGAGCGAGCGAACUCUCGUUAAGGAACUCGGCAAAAUGACCCCGUAACUUCGGGAGAAGGGGUGCUGACGACCGUCAGCCGCAGUGAAUAGGCCCAAGCGACUGUUUAUCAAAAACACAGGUCUCUGCAAAAUCGUAAGAUGAAGUAUAGGGGCUGACGCCUGCCCGGUGCUGGAAGGUUAAGAGGAUGGGUUAGCUUCGGCGAAGCUCAGAAUUGAAGCCCCAGUAAACGGCGGCCGUAACUAUAACGGUCCUAAGGUAGCGAAAUUCCUUGUCGGGUAAGUUCCGACCCGCACGAAAGGCGUAACGAUUUGGG
RNAcentral lists this ribosomal RNA (2000 nucleotides) under Veillonella sp. RNAcentral's name for it is "partial 23S ribosomal RNA". It matches the Rfam family "Bacterial large subunit ribosomal RNA", at positions 1 to 2013 of the family's 2925-position model. The record is from RNAcentral. Lineage: Bacteria; Bacillati; Bacillota; Negativicutes; Veillonellales; Veillonellaceae.